CAGCAGCCGCGGGAAAACGUAGGUGGCAAGCGUUGUCCGGAAUUAUUGGGCGUAAAGGGCUCGCAGGCGGUUUCUUAAGUCCGAUGUGAAAGCCCCCGGCUCAACCGGGGAGGGUCAUUGGAAACUGGGAAACUUGAGUGCAGAAGAGGAGAGUGGAAUUCCACGCGUAGCGGUGAAAUGCGUAGAGAUGUGGAGGAACACCAGUGGCGAAGGCGACUCUCUGGUCUGUAACUGACGCUGAGGAGCGAAAGCGUGGGGAGCGAACAGGAUUAGAUACCCGCGUAGUCCCUGUCUCUUAUAC
This 301-nucleotide ribosomal RNA is filed under the name uncultured bacterium. RNAcentral's name for it is "partial 16S ribosomal RNA". It matches the Rfam family "Bacterial small subunit ribosomal RNA", at positions 509 to 807 of the family's 1533-position model. The record is from RNAcentral.